CGGACGGGUGAGGAAUACAUCGGAAUCUACUCUGUCGUGGGGGAUAACGUAGGGAAACUUACGCUAAUACCGCAUACGACCUACGGUGAAGCAGGGGAUCUUCGGACCUUGCGCGAUUGAAUGAGCCGAUGUCGGAUUAGCUAGUUGGCGGGGUAAAGGCCCACCAAGGCGACGAUCCGUAGCUGGUCUGAGAGGAUGAUCAGCCACACUGGAACUGAGACACGGUCCAGACUCCUACGGGAGGCAGCAGCU
This 252-nucleotide ribosomal RNA is filed under the name uncultured Stenotrophomonas sp. RNAcentral's name for it is "partial 16S ribosomal RNA". It matches the Rfam family "Bacterial small subunit ribosomal RNA", at positions 99 to 355 of the family's 1533-position model. Lineage: Bacteria; Pseudomonadati; Pseudomonadota; Gammaproteobacteria; Lysobacterales; Lysobacteraceae. The record is from RNAcentral.